AGCAGCCGCGGUAAUUCCAGCUCCAAUAGCGUAUAUUAAAGUUGUUGCAGUUAAAAAGCUCGUAGUUGAAUUUCGGGGUCAGUAGGUUGGUCAUGCCACUGGUAUGUACUGGUCUCACUGAUUCCUCCUUCCUGAUGAGCCGUAAUGCCAUUAAUUUGGUGUUGCGAGGAAUCUGGACUGUUACUUUGAAAAAUUAGAGUGUUUAAAGCAGGCUAACGCUUGAAUACAUUAGCAUGGAAUAAUGAAAUAGGACGUUCGAUCUUAUUUUGUUGGUUUCUAAGAUUGACGUAAUGAUUAAUAGGGAUAGUUGGGGCAUUAGUAUUCAAUUGUCAGAGGUGAAAUUCUUGGAUUUAUUGAAGACUAACUACUGCGAAAGCAUUUGCCAAGGAUGUUUUCAUUAAUCAAGAACGAAAGUUAGGGGAUCGAAGACGAUCAGAUACCGUCGUAGUC
Molecule: ribosomal RNA, 450 nt
Filed under: uncultured Glomeromycotina
Lineage: Eukaryota; Fungi; Glomeromycota
Description: SSU rRNA
Rfam family: Eukaryotic small subunit ribosomal RNA
Source: RNAcentral